CUCGUAGGCGGUUUGUCGCGUCGGGAGUGAAAACACCGGGCUUAACUCGGUGCUGGCUUUCGAUACGGGCAGACUAGAGGUAUUCAGGGGAGAACGGAAUUCCUGGUGUAGCGGUGAAAUGCGCAGAUAUCAGGAGGAACACCGGUGGCGAAGGCGGUUCUCUGGGAAUGUCCUGACGCUGAGGAGCGAAAGUGUGGGGAGCGAACA
This 207-nucleotide ribosomal RNA is filed under the name uncultured bacterium. RNAcentral's name for it is "partial 16S ribosomal RNA". It matches the Rfam family "Bacterial small subunit ribosomal RNA", at positions 568 to 774 of the family's 1533-position model. The record is from RNAcentral.